CCCAUAUGGAAUGCUGAGAAGUGCUGAAACUCAUUCUGUGCAUCGUGAUGACUAAUUGAAAGAAACAGCUUGAUGAAUUUUCUAGUCCAGCCAGAGAUCCCCAGCCUGCUUUACAUGGAGAUAAUCACAUAUGCAGCACACUGGAUGAGUCAAUGCCAUACUUCGGAAAAGAAAAAGUAUACUGUAAAAGUACAGGGAGAUUAUAAGAGGAACUCUAGUCUCCAGUCAGUAUAACUGUUCACUUAUCAGAAGGUAUGCUGGCUUUGCCCAAAGAUUUGCUAGGGAAUUCUCCUUACUGUCCCAUUGAGUGGUAUGCUAUUAAGUGACUCCAGCUGAGUAUUAAAAUAGAAAAAAAAUCAAAAAAAUUUUUUUUUUUUUUUGGUGUUGUUAUAAUGUAAGCUUUGAAUCAGCAGCAUUAGAGACAAAACUGGAUUAAUAUAAAUCCUUCAAGGGAUAAAACACCUUUGCAGGUUAACACUGCCCUCUGCUUAAAUACUCCCAAAUUCUCUCUUUUGUAUUGAUUUAUCUAAACAGGGCUGCCUGGCUGCAUACAAUGAGAGGCUUCCUCUGCAGGUCAGUUAACAGGUACUUGGAUAGGAUUCAAACUUUUGUUAGGCACAGAAAAUCCCAUUAGAUGUUACUACAGGUGGCUGCUGCAUGUUUGCUACCAAUAUGAAUAUUACAUUUAGAAACCUGGAGUAGAUGGUAUGAAAAACCUGACAGCUAUAAAUCUUGUAUUUGAAGUAGACAGCUUUAUUGACUGCUACUGUCUUUGAGAUGGAAAAAAAGGGAAAUCUGUUCUAGCCUUUUGAUUUAGUAUGAGAGAGCACUAUUUAGGGAUGAUUGAUGGUUGAAAAGUGACUUAGCAACUGCUCCACAUGAUUGUGUUACACUACAUAAUAGGUUAAGCAGGAAAGAGGGGCUCCUGAAUUUAAAGGCACUAAACAUCAUUUUAUUGUAAAUGAGAAAAAUCAGUGCAAGUCUGACAUGGAUGUGUUCAUUUAUAUUCUAGACCAAACUAAAAGAGUAUAUUAUAAAUUAUUAAUUUCCAGGCUAGUUGUAUACUUCCCUGAACUAUUUUCUGGGUCAUGCUAAAUUUCAUGCUUUUUCAGGAUCUGUAAAUAGAUAUUUUGGGUUCAUUCUGAAGCUGCUCCCUGUCCAUUCUGCCUGAAAUUUAAUGUUGCCUUACACUGAGAUGCUAUUAGCCUGAUCACUCCCAUGUGUAGAACUGUAGCCAUUCUACAUCCAGUGGAAUUUUAAUAGCAAAAGUCACUAGAUUUUUAUUUAUUUAUUUAAAAUUAAAUAAUUUUAAAAUUUAUUUAUUUUAAUGUCAGGAAGUUUCUUACAAGUUGAGGAUAAAAUUCUGCCUGCACUGAAGCAAAAAAGCAAUGCUUUUUGUGGAGGCAGGAUGUCUCUUGGACUUUUCCACAUAUUUGUGUUUAGGUUAUGCUUUGAAGUGCAUACAUAGAUAAAAGAUGGCAAAAUCAUUCAUCUUGUCUGAAUCUCACAUUUCCAAUCAAUAUAGCAGGGUGGAUAAUGUACACAUCGGGUAUAAUAAGAAGGGAGGUUAAAAGCUUUGACAGCUUUGAAUCAAUCAAUAUAAUCAAUACAAAGUUAUCAGAUGUAUUAUUAAUAAAAUUUAAAAAUAUACAGUGGUGUUCUAUUAU
Molecule: long non-coding RNA, 1667 nt
Filed under: Anas platyrhynchos platyrhynchos (common mallard)
Lineage: Eukaryota; Metazoa; Chordata; Aves; Anseriformes; Anatidae
Description: lncRNA (ENSAPLG00000029849.1)
Source: RNAcentral